Lolium perenne is the source of this 2248-nucleotide long non-coding RNA. RefSeq lists it as uncharacterized. Lineage: Eukaryota; Viridiplantae; Streptophyta; Magnoliopsida; Poales; Poaceae. The record is from RefSeq and is a predicted model, not a curated record.
AACCAAUACAUGUGGUCCGUUUCGUCGCUCCCUUCGUCCCACCUCCUUCGUCGCGCGUCGGAAAAUUCGCCUUUCAAAUAAGUGCCCCGAAAAUUCCGCCAUCAAAUCCUCCAUCGAUCGAUCUUCCGCCGGUAAUCCAUACCCCAUCUCAUUCGCUCUCUAUUUCCAUGCUUCGUCGUCGCGGCGCCGCCCUAUAUCCACGCCUCAGCCCUUUGCGCGCCUCCACGGUCCACACCCACCGCGCAUUUGCACCAGCCUCAAACCUCCGGCUCCACGACCCACUCGUCAAGUGCCGGCGUUGAAUCUCCUGCCUCUCUAGCGAUGGAAAGGAUCUAGGCCAACCCUUCUCAAUCCUGCCAACACGAACGCGUGGGGGAGGAGCUGCACAAAUCCUCCAGCGACAGUACCAAGUUCCUGUGAAUCCAAGAUCGCUCCCAACAACAAGGAUUGAGAAACAGAUCCGGUUGAUUGCUUUUCGUUUUUAUGAGGUUGGAGAGUUUCGGGAUGAAUAGGUUAGUACCACUAAUGUGGCCCUUGUAGGCAAACGGGAUGAAUCCAAUACAGAUUUAUGGGUUUGUUUACAACGAGCGACUUUGCCUUUAUCACAAUAUGUUCAGGCUGCACUGAGUAUUGGAUCCGCAAGACCUACAAAACCUGAAUACUACCUUAUUUUGUUUAUUAUCGGGGUUCACAACUUCCAUUCCUUGUGUAUUUGUGCAAUAUGCCAAUAUGGAUAGUGAUAUGUGUACUGAACUCCCAAAAGUAUCUUCGAGAUAUUGGUGUUCUUAUAAACCUGGUUGGCUCUUGGUUGGUCUUCGUAUUUAAUUGGUUCACUACAACACGUAUCUACAUGGCAUUCUUUCAUCUUCACAUACCCGGUUGCUACAUGCAUGGACAAUCAUCAUAAUUUGACUGUGAACCUAAAUUUUUGUCCUUCAAAUAUUCCUCCCAGGUGAGCCAUAGUGCGAAUGCAUUUUGAUCUCCGUCAGGGGAAUGUACCCCUUUAUUGAGCAUUUUCAUCCCCCUUUUAUCUUCAGAUAUCUGUCUUUUUUCUUUCUCGCCUAUUGCGGUAUGGUGAAAAGAAGCAGGUGAUCUGAGUUGAUUCAGUUUUGACAUUAUCGCUACAAGAUUUUAAAUAAUGCGCAUUGAAAUUGCAACUCCAUUUCACUUCUGAAUAAUGUCUUCGGCCAUGGUAUAAACAAUUAAAAAUUACUGAAGAUGCAAAGGUAUGACGCAAUUCAUCCUUGGAUUUUAUUAUAGCAAAACAUGUUAUUGUAUUCAGGUCUACAUUUAUUGCAACCUGUGAAUCUUUGUCGGAACAUGAGUAUUUAAAAUAUACGGAGUAUUGUUUUUGCAGGUAAUCUUUCCCCGGUGAAUGAAACUGUUGUGCCGACAAUAAAAAACCUUCAUAUUGAGAAUAAAAAGGUAAUUUUUGUCUUAACUAUUUUAAUAUUCUUUAAGAAAUGUCUUGAAAGAAUAGCAUAUGUAUUUACUUUUGAGUUCUUGAUUCAAAUUUUCAAAUCUAUAUUUCCAAUUUUUCAUUGGCACUACUGUUCAUACUAAACCUGUCACUGUUAGCAAAUAUAUAGUACUGCAACAGUUGGUGCUACUAAUUGGAUGUAUCUCUUGUACUUAAGUUGCUAUUACCUCUAUUCCAAAUCUUAACUAGCAUUCUAAAAUGGCAUACAUUUUGUAAAGGAUGUAGUACUUGUUACCGUUGUGCUACAUCUCAAGACCCAGUUAUGAUGUCGAUCUCGCCAUUUCCAGACAGUAGGUUUUAACAUGGGAUCGACCGAUUGAGUUUAGCCAUCAUAUUUAAACCACCUUUGUCCAAGACAAUGGAGGAUGAAAACAGUCUCAUUAGAUUGUGAUUUGUGAAUCAAGGUUGGCUCUAGAAUUAGUAUAGAAAAAGGCAUCUUCCUAUCUAUGUGGUGGUAGGCAGCUGUAAGGUUUGCAUUUCUCUCAAUAAAUUGGUGCUUCAGUGUCGUUUACUGAUUUUCAUGGUUUAUCGCAUUUAUAACAUCUUUCUGUAAAUUCGUUAGGUCUAAUGAGUAUCAAAUUGUAUGAAAAGUUACAGAUCCGCAUGAGAAAAGUGAAGAAGACUGAACUUUAGUUUUAGACUUUUUUUGGGUUGUUGAUGCCUGACACGUAAGUGCCUUCACCGUUGCACUGUAAGAACAUGGUUUUAGAAUCCAUAUCUCUACUGCCAGCACCUUUAUUUUUACUAGCCAUUUCCGCCUACAAUUAA